CCUACGGGAGGCAGCAGUGAGGAAUAUUGGUCAAUGGACGAGAGUCUGAACCAGCCAAGUCGCGUGAAGGAUGACUGCCCUAUGGGUUGUAAGCUUCUUUUAUAUGGGAAUAAAACGUUCCACGUGUGGGAGUUUGUAUGUACCAUAUGAAUAAGGAUCGGCUAACUCCGUGCCAGCCGCCGCGGUAAUACGGAGGCUCCGAGUGUUAUCCGGAUUUAGUGGGUUUAGGGGGUGCGUAGGCGGAUCGUUAAGUCAGUGGUCAAGUUGAGGGGCUCAACCCCUUCCCGCCAUUGAAACUGGGGUUCUUGAGUGGAAGAGAAGUAUGCGGAAUGCGUGGUGUAGCGGUGAAAUGCAUAGAUAUCACGCAGAACCCCGAUGGCGAAGGCAGCAUGCCGGCUUCCGACUGACGCUGAAGCACGAAAGCGUGGGGAUCGAACAGGAUUAGAUACCCCAGUAGUC
This 459-nucleotide ribosomal RNA is filed under the name uncultured bacterium. RNAcentral's name for it is "partial 16S ribosomal RNA". It matches the Rfam family "Bacterial small subunit ribosomal RNA", at positions 338 to 795 of the family's 1533-position model. The record is from RNAcentral.